AUUGAACGCUGGCGGCAUGCCUUACACAUGCAAGUCGAACGGUAACAGGUCUUCGGAUGCUGACGAGUGGCGAACGGGUGAGUAGUACAUCGGAACGUGCCUAGUAGUGGGGGAUAACUACUCGAAAGAGUGGCUAAUACCGCAUGAGAUCUACGGAUGAAAGCAGGGGAUCGCAAGACCUUGUGCUACUAGAGCGGCCGAUGGCAGAUUAGGUAGUUGGUGGGAUAAAAGCUUACCAAGCCGACGAUCUGUAGCUGGUCUGAGAGGACGAUCAGCCACACUGGGACUGGGACACGGCCCAGACUCCUACGGGAGGCAGCAGUGGGGAAUUUUGGACAAUGGGCGCAAGCCUGAUCCAGCAAUGCCGCGUGCAGGAUGAAGGCCUUCGGGUUGUAAACUGCUUUUGUACGGAACGAAAAGCCCCGGGUUAAUACCCUGGGGUCAUGACGGUACCGUAAGAAUAAGCACCGGCUAACUACGUGCCAGCCGCCGCCGCAG
This 498-nucleotide ribosomal RNA is filed under the name uncultured bacterium. RNAcentral describes it as "partial 16S ribosomal RNA". It matches the Rfam family "Bacterial small subunit ribosomal RNA", at positions 30 to 523 of the family's 1533-position model. The record is from RNAcentral.